Molecule: ribosomal RNA, 449 nt
Filed under: uncultured bacterium
Lineage: Bacteria
Description: partial 16S ribosomal RNA
Rfam family: Bacterial small subunit ribosomal RNA
Source: RNAcentral
AACGAACGCUGGCGGCAUGCCUAACACAUGCAAGUCGAACGAGACCUUCGGGUCUAGUGGCGCACGGGUGCGUAACGCGUGGGAAUCUACCCUUGGGUUCAGAAUAACAGUUAGAAAUGACUGCUAAUACCGGAUGAUGACGUAAGUCCAAAGAUUUAUCGCCCAAGGAUGAGCCCGCGUAAGAUUAGCUUGUUGGUGGGGUAAUGGCCUACCAAGGCGACGAUCUUUAGCUGGUCUGAGAGGAUGAUCAGCCACACUGGGACUGAGACACGGCCCAGACUCCUACGGGAGGCAGCAGUGGGGAAUAUUGGACAAUGGGCGAAAGCCUGAUCCAGCAAUGCCGCGUGAGUGAUGAAGGCCUUAGGGUUGUAAAGCUCUUUUACCAGGGAUGAUAACGACAGUACCUGGAGAAUAAGCUCCGGCUAACUCCGUGCCAGCAGCCGCCGUAA